RNAcentral lists this ribosomal RNA (551 nucleotides) under uncultured Alphaproteobacteria bacterium. Its description in RNAcentral is "bacterial SSU rRNA". It matches the Rfam family "Bacterial small subunit ribosomal RNA", at positions 346 to 916 of the family's 1533-position model. The record is from RNAcentral. Lineage: Bacteria; Pseudomonadati; Pseudomonadota; Alphaproteobacteria.
AGGCAGCAGUGGGGAAUCUUAGACAUGGGCGCAAGCCUGAUCUAGCCAUGCCGCGUGUGUGACGAAGGCCUUAGGGUCGUAAAGCACUUUCGCCUGUGAUGAUAAUGACAGUAGCAGGUAAAGAAACCCCGGCUAACUCCGUGCCAGCAGCCGCGGUAAUACGGAGGGGGUUAGCGUUGUUUGGAAUUACUGGGCGUAAAGCGCACGUAGGCGGAUUGGAAAGUAUGGGGUGAAAUCCCAGGGCUCAACCCUGGAACUGCCUCAUAAACUUCCAGUCUAGAGUUCGAGAGAGGUGAGUGGAAUUCCGAGUGUAGAGGUGAAAUUCGUAGAUAUUCGGAGGAACACCAGUGGCGAAGGCGGCUCACUGGCUCGAUACUGACGCUGAGGUGCGAAAGUGUGGGGAGCAAACAGGAUUAGAUACCCUGGUAGUCCACACCGUAAACGAUGAAUGCCAGUCGUCGGCAAGCAUGCUUGUCGGUGACACACCUAACGGAUUAAGCAUUCCGCCUGGGGAGUACGGUCGCAAGAUUAAAACUCAAAUGAAUUGACGG